This 500-nucleotide ribosomal RNA is filed under the name uncultured bacterium. RNAcentral describes it as "partial 16S ribosomal RNA". It matches the Rfam family "Bacterial small subunit ribosomal RNA", at positions 30 to 523 of the family's 1533-position model. The record is from RNAcentral.
AUUGAACGCUGGCGGCAUGCCUUACACAUGCAAGUCGAACGGCAGCACGGGAGCAAUCCUGGUGGCGAGUGGCGAACGGGUGAGUAAUGUAUCGGAACGUGCCCAGUCGUGGGGGAUAACGCAGCGAAAGCUGUGCUAAUACCGCAUACGAUCUAUGGAUGAAAGCGGGGGACCGCAAGACCUCGCGCGAUUGGAGCGGCCGAUAUCAGAUUAGGUAGUUGGUGGGGUAAAGGCUCACCAGGCCAACGAUCUGUAGCUGGUCUGAGAGGACGACCAGCCACACUGGAACUGAGACACGGUCCAGACUCCUACGGGAGGCAGCAGUGGGGAAUUUUGGACAAUGGACGCAAGUCUGAUCCAGCCAUUCCGCGUGCAGGAUGAAGGCCCUCGGGUUGUAAACUGCUUUUGUACGGAACGAAAAGGUUUCCAUUAAUACUGGGAGCUCAUGACGGUACCGUAAGAAUAAGCACCGGCUAACUACGUGCCAGCAGCCGCGGUAA